RNAcentral lists this ribosomal RNA (471 nucleotides) under Nocardia nova. RNAcentral's name for it is "bacterial SSU rRNA". It matches the Rfam family "Bacterial small subunit ribosomal RNA", at positions 28 to 516 of the family's 1533-position model. Lineage: Bacteria; Bacillati; Actinomycetota; Actinomycetes; Mycobacteriales; Nocardiaceae. The record is from RNAcentral.
GACGAACGCUGGCGGCGUGCUUAACACAUGCAAGUCGAGCGGUAAGGCCCUUCGGGGUACACGAGCGGCGAACGGGUGAGUAACACGUGGGUGAUCUGCCUCGCACUCUGGGAUAAGCCUGGGAAACUGGGUCUAAUACCGGAUAUGACCACGGAUCGCAUGGUUUGUGGUGGAAAGAUUUAUCGGUGCGAGAUGGGCCCGCGGCCUAUCAGCUUGUUGGUGGGGUAAUGGCCUACCAAGGCGACGACGGGUAGCCGACCUGAGAGGGUGACCGGCCACACUGGGACUGAGACACGGCCCAGACUCCUACGGGAGGCAGCAGUGGGGAAUAUUGCACAAUGGGCGAAAGCCUGAUGCAGCGACGCCGCGUGAGGGAUGACGGCCUUCGGGUUGUAAACCUCUUUCGACAGGGACGAAGCGCAAGUGACGGUACCUGUAGAAGAAGCACCGGCCAACUACGUGCCAGCAGCC